UGGGGAAUAUUGCACAAUGGGCGCAAGCCUGAUGCAGCCAUGCCGCGUGUGUGAAGAAGGCCUUCGGGUUGUAAAGCACUUUCAGCGGGGAGGAAGGCGUUAAGGUUAAUAACCUUGGCGAUUGUCGUUACCCGCAGAAGAAGCACCGGCUAACUCCGUGCCAGCAGCCGCGGUAAUACGGAGGGUGCAAGCGUUAAUCGGAAUUACUGGGCGUAAAGCGCACGCAGGCGGUCUGUCAAGUCGGAUGUGAAAUCCCCGGGCUCAACCUGGGAACUGCAUUCGAAACUGGCAGGCUAGAGUCUUGUAGAGGGGGGUAGAAUUCCAGGUGUAGCGGUGAAAUGCGUAGAGAUCUGGAGGAAUACCGGUGGCGAAGGCGGCCCCCUGGACAAAGACUGACGCUCAGGUGCGAAAGCGUGGGGAGCAAACAGG
RNAcentral lists this ribosomal RNA (429 nucleotides) under Chloroflexota bacterium. RNAcentral's name for it is "Chloroflexi bacterium partial 16S ribosomal RNA". It matches the Rfam family "Bacterial small subunit ribosomal RNA", at positions 355 to 776 of the family's 1533-position model. Lineage: Bacteria; Bacillati; Chloroflexota. The record is from RNAcentral.